RNAcentral lists this long non-coding RNA (300 nucleotides) under Ictidomys tridecemlineatus (thirteen-lined ground squirrel). RNAcentral describes it as "lncRNA (ENSSTOG00000031808.1)". Lineage: Eukaryota; Metazoa; Chordata; Mammalia; Rodentia; Sciuridae. The record is from RNAcentral.
CUCUGAACUGGAAAGAGGAAGAGAAAGAAAAAAGAGAGCGCUUUAGUUGGAGGGCUUGGACAGCUCCUCCUGGAGUCCCAGGACCUGCCUCUGCAGAGCUUCCCUCCGCUCUGGCCUUCCCGUCUAUAAACCAAGAAGAAUCGGGGCUCCAGCUUGCCAGGGCCAGCUCACUUCCGGGGAGAAUCCUGGGAGCAGGAAACCAAGAACAUGAUAAACUUCAGCGACUUGACAUUUCAAAAAGAGCUUACAUCCCUGCCUGAACCAGCCUCACCUCCCGUUCCCGGUGACUGUAAAACACAC